AAAACCUCCGUUACCAGACCUAAAGCACCCAAAAAAAUGGAAAAAAAAGAAAAAGAAAAGAAACCCAUUAACCCACCUUGCUCCUCUCAAACCCUCUUUCCCACAUCAUCUCCUCCGUUUCACCUCCCUCACGAUCUCCCAUGGCGAGCUCUAGGUGCUACCUCACUGUGUCUCUGAUGGCGAUUUCUCUAAUCUCAUGUCAAUCCCUUCUCCUUCCGCAAGAGAUUUUCGCGUAGCUCGAUCAUCACCACCACCGCCGCAACGCCGUCCUCAAGUUUGGUCCUCUCCUCGUCAUCAACUUUGGAGAAGCUCAAGAGCUCGGAUUGUGCGCACGAUCAGCUUCUAAUCCCAAUCUAGGGUUUUUGUUCUUAAGAUCUUACAGUGGAAGAGCACUUAAUUUGUGUGGCCAACUUAUUGAACCCUCUAUUGGAAGAGUGAGUGAAGUUGAAGAAUGUUCUGCGAGAAAUGCUUCAGAUUCAGUUCAUCACAAUGGCAGUUCAAAGUGCAAAAAAUCUACACGCCGUAAAAAAACUGCUUCAGAUGCAUCCACUUCUCAUCUAUGAUGUUCAUCCAUGAGCUUAUUGUUCAUUAGGAAGUGCAUGAGAUCAAAAGUUGAAGCUUUUUGGCGUUACGCUCGGAAGAUUACCUGUAUAGGCAUGAAAUCUGAAACAACUGAUAAGUAUUAUCAAGAUCUGUGAAGCAGAGAAAACUAACCUCAUUUUUUGGUUCGUCGACUGAUAGAAUGAAUUCCUCAGUUUCAUUGAAGACAGCCUACAAAACCACCCAUUAGUGGAAAGAAGAGAAUCAACCAACCUGGAAACGCAAGUGCGUGUGGAUUGCACCCAGAUACUGUAUUGCAUCUCUUUCAUGAUAUGAUCCGGUGAGACAGAACUGUGAAAGAGCCUGCAUUCUCAGCAUCUCUGAUCUGACUGCUGGAAAGCGUUUGGUUAACUAAGGAGGCUGCAGUUUUCUGUUUUUUCUGGUUUGGGAGGAUCGGAGGAUGCACUCUUUCUGCUUUCCAUUCUGUUGUAGACCAAACUUCCUUCAAUAGGUUAAUCCAUUGCCAUUAGUUAUUGGCUAUGAUGAUCCCUUAGUAACUGCUUGAUGUAGGAGCUUGUAUAGGAGUUUCUAAAAUCUUGAAGCAAUACUUGAUUGCAGUAUAAGAAUAGUAAUUGUAAUUGAAUAGCUGUUGCUAUAGUGGUCGUCUAUUGAGCACUUUUGCAGUACUUCAAUGUCCAGGAAUGGACAGUUAUUAAUUAAGCCUCCGAUUUUUGACA
Ananas comosus (pineapple) is the source of this 1277-nucleotide long non-coding RNA. RefSeq lists it as uncharacterized. The transcript is spliced from 5 exons. Lineage: Eukaryota; Viridiplantae; Streptophyta; Magnoliopsida; Poales; Bromeliaceae. The record is from RefSeq and is a predicted model, not a curated record.